Molecule: ribosomal RNA, 378 nt
Filed under: Chilo tumidicostalis (plassey borer)
Lineage: Eukaryota; Metazoa; Arthropoda; Insecta; Lepidoptera; Crambidae
Description: partial 16S ribosomal RNA
Source: RNAcentral
AGUCUUUUAAUUGAUGACUUGUAUGAAAGAUUGGAUGAGAUAUAGACUGUCUCUUUAUUAAAAAUAGAAUUUAAUUUUUUAAUUAAAAAGUUAAAAUAAAUUUAAAAGACGAGAAGACCCUAUAGAGUUUUAUAAUUUAUGUUAAGAAGAUUUUAUAUAAGUAUAAUUAAUUUUUAUAAUAUAAUUUAAUUGAUUGGGGUGAUUAAAAAAUUAAUUGAACUUUUUUUUUAAAAAACAUAGAUAAAUGAAUAUAUUGAUCCAUUAUUAAUGAUUAAAAGAAAAAAUUACCUUAGGGAUAACAGCGUAAUUUUUUUUUUUAGUUCAAAUAAAAAAAAAAGUUUGCGACCUCGAUUUUGGAUUAAGAUAAAAUUUAAAUGC